GAGGUGGCCUAGUGGUUAGAGCGUCCGCCUCAGAUGCAGGAGGUUAUGGGUUCGAUCCCCAGCCGAGUCA
Non-coding RNA from Potamilus streckersoni, 70 nucleotides. The record is from the annotation of a GenBank genome assembly. NCBI's taxonomy places the organism in Eukaryota, Metazoa, Mollusca, Bivalvia, Unionida, Unionidae.